CCUACGGGCGGCAGCAGUGGGGAAUAUUGGACAAUGGGGGCGACCCUGAUCCAGCCAUGCCGCGUGUGUGAAGAAGGCCCUCGGGUUGUAAAGCACUUUCAGUGAGGAAGAACGCCUGGUGGUUAAUACCCAUCAGGAAAGACAUCACUCUCAGAAGAAGCACCGGCUAACUCCGUGCCAGCAGCCGCGGUAAUACGGAGGGUGCGAGCGUUAAUCGGAAUUACUGGGCGUAAAGCGCGCGUAGGUGGCUUGAUAAGCCGGUUGUGAAAGCCCCGGGCUCAACCUGGGAACGGCAUCCGGAACUGUCAAGCUAGAGUGCAGGAGAGGAAGGUAGAAUUCCCGGUGUAGCGGUGAAAUGCGUAGAGAUCGGGAGGAAUACCAGUGGCGAAGGCGGCCUUCUGGACUGACACUGACACUGAGGUGCGAAAGCGUGGGUAGCAAACAGGAUUAGAUACCCGAGUAGUC
This 465-nucleotide ribosomal RNA is filed under the name Vreelandella stevensii. Its description in RNAcentral is "partial 16S ribosomal RNA". It matches the Rfam family "Bacterial small subunit ribosomal RNA", at positions 338 to 795 of the family's 1533-position model. The record is from RNAcentral. Lineage: Bacteria; Pseudomonadati; Pseudomonadota; Gammaproteobacteria; Oceanospirillales; Halomonadaceae.